Molecule: ribosomal RNA, 402 nt
Filed under: uncultured bacterium
Lineage: Bacteria
Description: bacterial SSU rRNA
Rfam family: Bacterial small subunit ribosomal RNA
Source: RNAcentral
UGGGGAAUAUUGCACAAUGGGGGAAACCCUGAUGCAGCAACGCCGCGUGAAGGAUGAAGUAUUUCGGUAUGUAAACUUCUAUCAGCAGGGAAGAAGAAGACGGUACCUGACUAAGAAGCUCCGGCUAACUACGUGCCAGCAGCCGCGGUAAUACGUAGGGGGCAAGCGUUAUCCGGAUUUACUGGGUGUAAAGGGAGCGCAGGCGGCGCAGUAAGUCAGAAGUGAAAGCCCGGGGCUUAACUCCGGGACUGCUUUUGAAACUGCCGUGCUUGAUUUCAGGAGAGGCAAGCGGAAUUCCUAGUGUAGCGGUGAAAUGCGUAGAUAUUAGGAGGAACACCAGUGGCGAAGGCGGCUUGCUGGACUGAUAAUGACGCUGAGGCUCGAAAGCGUGGGGAGCAAACA